This 359-nucleotide ribosomal RNA is filed under the name uncultured bacterium. Its description in RNAcentral is "bacterial SSU rRNA". It matches the Rfam family "Bacterial small subunit ribosomal RNA", at positions 30 to 388 of the family's 1533-position model. The record is from RNAcentral.
UUGAACGCUGGCGGCAUGCCUUACACAUGCAAGUCGAACGGCAGCACGGGAGUAAUCCUGGUGGCGAGUGGCGAACGGGUGAGUAAUAUAUCGGAACGUGCCCAGUCGUGGGGGAUAACGCAGCGAAAGCUGUGCUAAUACCGCAUACGAUCUCUGGAUGAAAGCGGGGGACUCGCAAGGGCCUCGCGCGAUUGGAGCGGCCGAUAUCAGAUUAGCUAGUUGGUGGGGUAAAAGCUCACCAAGGCGACGAUCUGUAGCUGGUCUGAGAGGACGACCAGCCACACUGGAACUGAGACACGGUCCAGACUCCUACGGGAGGCAGCAGUGGGGAAUAUUGCACAAUGGGCGAAAGCCUGAUG